Molecule: ribosomal RNA, 301 nt
Filed under: uncultured bacterium
Lineage: Bacteria
Description: partial 16S ribosomal RNA
Rfam family: Bacterial small subunit ribosomal RNA
Source: RNAcentral
CAGCCGCCGCGGUAAAACGGAGGGGGCUAGCGUUGUUCGGAAUUACUGGGCGUAAAGCGCACGUAGGCGGCUUUGUAAGUUAGAGGUGAAAGCCCGGAGCUCAACUCCGGAAUUGCCUUUAAGACUGCAGAGCUAGCAGGUGAGAGAGGUGAGUGGAAUUCCGAGUGUAGAGGUGAAAUUCGUAGAUAUUCGGAAGAACACCAGUGGCGAAGGCGGCUCACUGGCUCAUACUGGACGCUGAGGUGCGAAAGCGUGGGGAGCAAACAGGAUUAGAUACCCCGGUAGUCCCUGUCUCUUAUAC